AUCUACAGCCAUACCACCACCCUGAAUGCACCCAAUCUCCUCAGAUCUCAGAAAUUAAGCAGGGCCAAGCCUUGUUCGUUCUACGAUGGGAGACUGCCUGGGAAUAUUAUGUGAUGUAGGCU
Molecule: ribosomal RNA, 122 nt
Filed under: Meriones unguiculatus (Mongolian gerbil)
Lineage: Eukaryota; Metazoa; Chordata; Mammalia; Rodentia; Muridae
Source: RNAcentral